RNAcentral lists this ribosomal RNA (255 nucleotides) under uncultured bacterium. Its description in RNAcentral is "partial 16S ribosomal RNA". It matches the Rfam family "Bacterial small subunit ribosomal RNA", at positions 524 to 776 of the family's 1533-position model. The record is from RNAcentral.
UACGGGGGGGGGCAAGCGUUGUUCGGAAUUACUGGGCGUAAAGGGCUCGUAGGUGGCCAAUUAAGUCAGACGUGAAAUCCCCAGGCUCAACCUGGGAACUGCGUCCGAUACUGGUUGGCUUGAAUUCGGGAGAGGGAUGCAGAAUUCCAGGUGUAGCGGUGAAAUGCGUAGAUAUCUGGAGGAACACCGGUGGCGAAGGCGGCAUCCUGGACCAACACUGACGCUGAGUGAGCGAAAGCCAGGGGAGCAAACGGG